UAGGGAAUAUUGCACCAUGGGCGAAAGCCUGAUGCAGCAACGCCGCGUGAGUGAUGAAGGCCCUCGGGUCGUAAAACUCUUUUCAAGAGGAAGAGGAAGGACGGUACUCUUGGAAUAAGCCUUGGCUAACUACGUGCCAGCAGCCGCGGUAACACGUAGGAGGCGAGCGUUAUUCGGAUUUACUGGGCGUAAGGCGCGUGUAGGCGGCUUAUUAAGUUGGAUGUGAAAGCUCCUGGCUUAACUGGGAGAGGACGUUCAAAACUAGUAAGCUUGAGUACGAGAGAGGAAAAUGGAAUUCCGGGUGUAGUGGUGAAAUGCGUAGAUAUCCGGAGGAACACCAGUGGCGAAGGCGAUUUUCUGGCUCGAGACUGACGCUCAGACGCGAAAGCUAGGGUAGCAAACGAG
RNAcentral lists this ribosomal RNA (405 nucleotides) under uncultured bacterium. RNAcentral's name for it is "bacterial SSU rRNA". It matches the Rfam family "Bacterial small subunit ribosomal RNA", at positions 355 to 776 of the family's 1533-position model. The record is from RNAcentral.